Non-coding RNA from Chelonoidis abingdonii (Abingdon island giant tortoise), 98 nucleotides. Lineage: Eukaryota; Metazoa; Chordata; Testudines; Testudinidae. The record is from RefSeq and is a predicted model, not a curated record.
UAGGAAUUGUAGAAAAUUGACAAGGGAAGCAAAAAGAUACAAGGAGAAAUCUAUGGCUAGAAGAAUUAAGAACAAUAAAAAGAUAUUGUAAGAAUAUU